This 253-nucleotide ribosomal RNA is filed under the name uncultured bacterium. Its description in RNAcentral is "partial 16S ribosomal RNA". It matches the Rfam family "Bacterial small subunit ribosomal RNA", at positions 524 to 776 of the family's 1533-position model. The record is from RNAcentral.
UACGUAGGGUGCGAGCGUUGCCCGGAUUUAUUGGGCGUAAAGGGCGCGCAGGCGGCUACGCACGUCCGUUGUGAAAUCGCUCGGCUCAACUGGGCGGGGUCAGCGGAUACGGCGUAGCUGGAGCAAGCUAGGGGGCAAUGGAAUUCCCGGUGUAGCGGUGGAAUGCGUAGAGAUCGGGAAGAACACCAGUGGCGAAGGCGACGUGCUGGGUUGCACCUGACGCUGAGAUGCGAAAGUGUGGGGAGCAAACGGG